GUCUUUUUGAUUAUAAUUUAAAGUCUAACCUGCCCAAUGAAAAUUUUGAAUGGCUGCGGUAUUUUGACCGUACUAAGGUAGCAUAAUCAUUAGUUUCUUAAUUAGGAGCUGGAAUGAAUGGUUGAAUGAGAAAAUAGCUGUCUCAAAUUAAAUAAUUAGAACUUUAUUUUUAAGUUAAAAAGCUUAAAUUUAAUUAAAAGACGAGAAGACCCUAUAGAGUUUAAUAAUAAAUUAUUAUUUAAUAUUAAGAUUAUUUUAUUUUAUAUUAAUUUUAUUAUUUAAUUGGGGUGAUUAGAAAAUUUAAUAAACUUUUCUUUAAUUUAAACAUUAAUUUAUGAAUAUUUGAUCCAAAAUUUUUGAUUAUAAGAUUAAAUUACCUUAGGGAUAACAGCGUAAUUUUCUUUUAGAGUUCUUAUCGAAAAGAAAGUUUGCGACCUCGAUGUUGGAUUAAAAUUAAUAUUUAGCGCAAAAGUUAAACUAUUAAGUCUGUUCGACUUUUAAAAUUUUACA
This 510-nucleotide ribosomal RNA is filed under the name Melanophthalma sp. 3 NPL-2007. RNAcentral's name for it is "partial 16S ribosomal RNA". It matches the Rfam family "Bacterial large subunit ribosomal RNA", at positions 1830 to 2600 of the family's 2925-position model. The record is from RNAcentral. Lineage: Eukaryota; Metazoa; Arthropoda; Insecta; Coleoptera; Latridiidae.